RNAcentral lists this ribosomal RNA (356 nucleotides) under uncultured bacterium. RNAcentral's name for it is "bacterial SSU rRNA". It matches the Rfam family "Bacterial small subunit ribosomal RNA", at positions 8 to 353 of the family's 1533-position model. The record is from RNAcentral.
AGAGUUUGAUCAUGGCUCAGGAUGAACGCUAGCUACGGGCUUAGCACAUGCAAGUCGAGGGGAAACGACAUCGAAAGCUUGCUUUUGAUGGGCGUCGACCGGCGUACGGGUGGGUAACGCGUAUCCAACCUGCCCACCACUUGGGGAUAACCUUGCGAAAGUAAGACUAAUACCCAAUGAUAUCUCUAGAAGACAUCUGAAAGAGAUUAAAGAUUUAUCGGUGGUGGAUGGGGAUGCGUCUGAUUAGCUUGUUGGCGGGGUAACGGCCCACCAAGGCAACGAUCAGUAGGGGUUCUGAGAGGAAGGUCCCCCACAUUGGAACUGAGACACGGUCCAAACUCCUACGGGAGGCAGCA